RNAcentral lists this long non-coding RNA (3136 nucleotides) under Capsicum annuum. RNAcentral's name for it is "long non-coding RNA (CANN_LNC014923)". Lineage: Eukaryota; Viridiplantae; Streptophyta; Magnoliopsida; Solanales; Solanaceae. The record is from RNAcentral.
CUGGAUUUCUUUACAACAUAUGUCGGUAUUGAGCUUCAUGGUAAACUGGAAAGGUUUAAUCCAGUUUCGAAGUUUGCUAUCAGUUUGUUGUAUGGCCUUUUCUGUCUUCUCACAUAUUUCACAUGACCAGUUGAAAAUAGCCUUCAACAUAGAAAACUGAUUGUUAAGAAUAAGACUUACCAACCUAUAACUAACCAUUAUUGUCAUUUUUCUAACCUGUGUAUAAGUUAAAACAAUUGAGAGUGAUAGCUCUAUAAAAGUAUUUUAUUGUAGGUAAUAAAAAUAGAGGUAUAUUUUACAACAAAUUUCUAAAAGAUAGACAAAUUUGCAUUAUAAUUUAGAAAAUAAUUAGUCAUUGACAACCAAAACUCGUUUAAUUAUACAAACAAAAGAUCAUAAGAGAUAAGUAGAUUCAUUUUUACAGUGAUAGGGUAUUAGUCUCGAAACAGGCUUAGCCACAUUAUGAUUUGCCUUUUAAUCUUUCCGUUUAUACCAACUUCUCUUUUUCGUUCUCUCGUAUGCCAAAACACUAUAUACAUUUUAUCAAGCAAAAAGAAAAAAAAAAUAGAAAAAAGUGAAUACAGCUGAAAUAAAUAAAAGAGGGGCAGCUUGUGUAUAUAACAAAUGCAAUUUGUGAACAAUAACCCCAUAAAAGUGAAAAUGACAAUAGAUGGAAGAGCCAAAAUACCAUCUUAAGAAAAAGUACAAGGACAAUCAUAAUCCAUGGAGUCUUGUUAUUUUUCUAAAAUAAGGUAUGAAAUUCACAAAUCACGAUAAGCAACUACAAGAAAGAAAUUAAUUUGACUACACUGAGAUGGCAGUUACUAUUUAUCACCUUCACACUUUUAGUAUUCAGUGUAUAAUUAAUAUUUAAUUAAUUAUAUAUUAUAAAUUUUAUGAUAUUUUGGUUUAACGUAGGGGUAAAAUGACAAUCCCACUUUUCCCCUAAAUUCUUUCCGCUUUUAGUAUAAAAUAUGAUAGAUCAGAUAAGUCAUUAAUGCAUCAGUUUCCAGCAAGCAGAGUUGGAGAGUUCUUCUGAAUACUCUUCAUCCGAGUUCUGGCUCUUCAGUAUUUGACUCUGCAAAGUCGGGAGAAAGUCUACAGGUCCUUGUUGAGGGACUGGAUGAGUACAUGUGGGAUAAUGAUGAGGAGUCUAUUAUGUCUAGGAAGUUCUCUAGGGAAUGNNNNNNNNNNNNNNNNNNNNNNNNNNNNNNNNNNNAAAUAGAAUACACUCUUUGUUAUUAUCCCACUCAUACUCAUCUAGUCUCCUAACAGGAACCAGAAUGUGAGUGAAGUAAAAGAUUUUGGCUGCAAUGAAAGUAAACAGUGAAUGGCAAAGGGGAAGGUAGGGACUAUUUAAAUGAAAUAAUGAGACUAUACUAAUCAAGAUUCAUGAAUUGAGGAUAAAAACAACCUUGUAACAAGAGACUAUAGAAUCAAAAGUCAAGAAUUGAGGAUAGUAACAAAUUUAAAACAUUACUUAAUAAUUCAUUUGGACAGAGAAAUAGGAGACUAGAGAAUCAAAAGUCAACAAUUGAGGAUAGUAACAAAUUUAAAACAUUACUUAUUAAUUCAUUUGGAGAGAGAAAUAUUAGUCUAGAGAAUCAAAAGUCAAGAAUUGAGGAUAGUAACAAAUUUAAAGUGAUUGUUGGAAUUUAGUUACCAUAAUUACAAUCCUUUUUCAUGUUUUAAAGCUGCUAAUUCUCUGAGUAAUAUACCUGGAAUUUUCUCCAUUACCUUGUUGUUUUUUCAAAUGGUACAAGUCUGUUUUGGGAAGUUUAUAAUUAGUUUGUAACAUCUAAUUCCUUAUUUAUUUUUGGUGCACCCUCUUAAUUUUGAGAUAUUUAGAGGAUUGGGUGUCUUUUGUAAUAAUGAUAUCUGUUUGUAGGAUCUUUACCUUCUUGUAUACAGACGACUUUGGCCUUUUGAUUUAUGAAAUGAAAUUGUUUACCCACUAAACAAAUAAGACAGAGAUUACUUCAAUCAAGAUUGAAAAUUGUUGCUAUCAACAAAUUUGAAACCAGAGACAAAAAUCCAGUAAAACAAUUGAGGAUAAGAACCAUCUUAACUAACACCAGAGGAAAAAGACAUCUUUCUUGAGCAUCUUCAUACUCGUGUCACUACCAUUCUAGUUCUUGGACAUUACUAUUGAUGAGUCCAUUCUAAAGUGCUUGUGACUUUUCUGUCUUUAAUUAGCUUAACAAACUACUAGUAUUCUUCUAAAGGUUCUUUGGUUUGUGUUGGGUUCGGAUUUUGUGAGGUAUGGAUGUCGAGUAAUAGAAGAAAUUCAGGGUUAUUUGCUCAAGUGGAAGAUUUACCUCCAGAAAGGCACAAAGAAAAAUCCAAAGAUUUAGGGAUGAGAGAGUACAUAGCUAUAAGAUACCGCACACGUAUAGCAAUCUGCAUGCUUGUGUUGACCGAUAAUUACAUAACUAAUAUUGACAUGUAUAUGCAUUCACAAAAAAUAUACAUUUCUGGAAAAGAAGAUAAUAGAUUCUGCAAUUAUAUCACAUCCUAAAUGAAGCAGCACCAUAUUAAGAGGGUAUUUUAAUUUUGCAAAAAAAAAUUGCAUGAUGUGUAUACCUAAUAUUAUGUAGUUAUUACACGUCUAUUCAUACAAACAACCACAAGUAGAGAGGCUAUUUCAGAUAGAUCCUCAAUCAAGUAAAGGUGCGAAACAAUCUAAUAUGCAUAACCUGGUAAUGUCUAUCAACAAUUAUACCAAUAAAAUCAUAAAACCGCAAUAAAAAGCCAUUCAAAACCUGUAGUACAUAUCGAGUAAGAAACAAAUUUGUUUGAGAUCAUCUACUCAAAUGAACAUGAGAACUAAGUUAUGGUUGUCUUCGAAUUAUGGCUAAAUCAUAGAAUCAUCAAAAAAAGCAAGUGUUAGGGUCGAGAACCCGAUUAUUGCGGAAUUUAGCUAAACAUUGUUAUAAUGACAAUAUAAAAGACAAUAACAAGUUGAUAAUAACGGUAAUUAAAAAAAUUAAAGGAGACACAAAUUUAAUGUAGUUCGGUAAGUUUGACCUACGUCCACGAGCGGAGAAGAACAAUUUCACUGUAUCACCUGGAGUACAAUAUAGAGAUUACAAAAUUAGAGCAGUCACUCUAAUUAACCCAAAUAUCCCAAGAGAAG